AGAUUGAACGCUGGCGGCGUGCUUAACACAUGCAAGUCGAGCGGUAACGCGGGAGCAAUCCUGGCGACGAGCGGCGAACGGGUGAGUAAUGCUUGGGAAUCUGCCCAUUAGUGGGGAACAACCAGCCGAAAGGUUGGCUAAUACCGCAUACGCCCUACGGGGGAAAGCGGGGGAUCGAAAGACCUCGCGCUAAUGGAUGAGCCCAAGUCGGAUUAGCUUGUUGGUGGGGUAACGGCCUACCAAGGCGACAAUCCGUAGCUGGUCUGAGAGGACGACCAGCCACACUGGGACUGAGACACGGCCCAGACUCCUACGGGAGGCAGCAGUGGGGGAAUAUUGGACAAUGGGGGCAACCCUGAUCCAGCGACGCCGCGUGUGAAGAAGGCCUGCGGGUUGUAAAGCACUUUUAGUGGGGAUGAAAAGCUCAGGGUUAACACCUCUGGGUCUUGACCUAACCCACAGAAAAGCACCGGCUAACUCUGCGCCAGCAGCCGCGGU
RNAcentral lists this ribosomal RNA (498 nucleotides) under uncultured bacterium. Its description in RNAcentral is "SSU rRNA". It matches the Rfam family "Bacterial small subunit ribosomal RNA", at positions 26 to 521 of the family's 1533-position model. The record is from RNAcentral.